This 708-nucleotide ribosomal RNA is filed under the name Caliscelis wallengreni. Its description in RNAcentral is "eukaryotic LSU rRNA". It matches the Rfam family "Eukaryotic large subunit ribosomal RNA", at positions 1290 to 1870 of the family's 3401-position model. Lineage: Eukaryota; Metazoa; Arthropoda; Insecta; Hemiptera; Caliscelidae. The record is from RNAcentral.
UCACCUGCCGAAGCAACUAGCCCUGAAAAUGGAUGGCGCUCUAGCGUCGUGCCUAUACCGGGCCGUCAACGGCAAAGUUGGCCAGUGUCCCGCCGGCUCAAACCGACGGGCUUGGUCGUUAAGCCUUGACGAGUAGGAGGAGCGCGGCGGUGUGCGCAGAAGGGUCUGAGCGUGAGCUCGCCUGGAGCCGCCGUCGGUGCAGAUCUUGGUGGUAGUAGCAAAUACUCUAGCGAGGGCCUGGAGGGCUGAUGUGGAGAAGGGUUUCUUGUGAACAGCCGUUGCACAAGAGUCAGUCGACCCUAAGCCCUAGGAGAAAUCCGAUGUCGAUGGGCAGCUAUCAAUCGGCUGGCGUGGUGUGGUCCCAGACCUACCGGCCAAACCGACUGCUCCCGUCGGGCGAAAGGGAAUCCGGUUCCUAUUCCGGAACCCGGCCGCGGAACCGUAACUUCGCGGGCACUCGCCUGCGAGCGCUCGUCGGGGUAACCCAAAAUGACCCGGAGACGCCGUCGGGAGGUCUGGAAAGAGUUUUCUUUUCUUUAUAAGCGUUCGAGUUCCCUGGAAUCCUAUAGCAGGGAGAUAGGGUUUGGAACGCGAAGAGCACCGCAGUUGCGGCGGUGUCCGGACCUUCCCCUCGGACCUUGAAAAUCCGGGUGAGGGCUACGCGGAAUGUCGCGCCGGCUCGUACCCAUAUCCGCAGCAGGUCUCCAA